UACGGAGGAUCCGAGCGUUAUCCGGAUUUAUUGGGUUUAAAGGGAGCGUAGAUGGGUUGUUAAGUCAGUUGUGAAAGUUUGCGGCUCAACCGUAAAAUUGCAAUUGAUACUGGCAGUCUUGAGUACAGUUGAGGUAGGCGGAAUUCGUGGUGUAGCGGUGAAAUGCUUAGAUAUCACGAAGAACUCCGAUUGCGAAGGCAGCUUACUAACCUGUAACUGACAUUGAUGCUCGAAAGUGUGGGUAUCAAACA
RNAcentral lists this ribosomal RNA (251 nucleotides) under uncultured bacterium. RNAcentral's name for it is "partial 16S ribosomal RNA". It matches the Rfam family "Bacterial small subunit ribosomal RNA", at positions 524 to 774 of the family's 1533-position model. The record is from RNAcentral.